RNAcentral lists this long non-coding RNA (831 nucleotides) under Homo sapiens (human). Its description in RNAcentral is "HSALNT0324386". The record is from RNAcentral. Lineage: Eukaryota; Metazoa; Chordata; Mammalia; Primates; Hominidae.
GAAGGAGGAUCAUCUGCUGUGGGUGUUCCUGAUCUUUGAGCCAUGAUAAUGUUACUGGUUGGAUGUCAGGAGCAGGCCAUGUGGAUGAUUAAAAGAUGAAUAUCAUAUACAGCAUGGAUAUGUUGGACAAAAAGAUGAUUCACAUCCCAGACAGAAUGGAGCAGUUGUUCUUCCAGAUGGCAUGAAUCCAACAGUGAAGAAAUCAGAAUACGUUGCUUUUGUGAGGGGCAGCUGCUGAUUUUCUCUGAGCUCCGUUUCCAGCCUUCACAUGCUCUGCUAUUCAUCACAGGGUAAAUUCUGACUAUAGGAGGUACUGACAGAAGAUUAGGGAAGAACAGAGGGCUAAAUGUUUAUUGACUUCUUGAAAAAUGCUAUGUGUCUUGCCAGACUUAGCUUACAAGUUUGGUUAAAGAGAGACUGACAUGAGCAUAAAGGAAGGGACAUUGAAAGAGGCAGAGAUGAAGGAAGAAAUUGUAACUUACUCCUUUUAUCCCACCCAUCAAAGGAAAGACAAGUUGACAAGUAUUGAUUCUGCAACAAACUGAGAAGAAACCUGGCGAUUCACAACAGAGAGCUGAGAAAUCCUAAGUCUGGAUUCCAGCUAAAUGGGAGCAGACUAAAUAGAGCGGCAGUCGGCGAACUACAUGUAGCCCAUGAACAAAAUCCGGUCCAGCACGUGUGUUUUUUUUUACGGCCCACAAAUGAGUCUGUCUUUACAGAUGAAUGUUAAAACUGGGUUGACAAGAGAGAACACUCACUUUGAACCGCAACUAAACAAAAUAUUAUCACCUUUCCCCUCAAAAAAGGUUUUUGUUCUUCUCAUUAGUAAAU